RNAcentral lists this long non-coding RNA (313 nucleotides) under Chinchilla lanigera (long-tailed chinchilla). RNAcentral's name for it is "lncRNA (ENSCLAG00000029246.1)". The record is from RNAcentral. Lineage: Eukaryota; Metazoa; Chordata; Mammalia; Rodentia; Chinchillidae.
GUAAAUCAUUUCUCCUCUCCCUUCCUCCAACCAGCUGGUUGGUGCCCAUGGUGAUGGCUGCAUUUCAGACGGGGUGGUUUCGGUUGGGUAUCUGAUUGGCUCCCUGGUUGCUAAGAAGAUGGUUGCCUUGGUGUUUCAGAUUUCAGGGCCAUAGUAAGCGCCAUGUGGGAGUGUGCGUGGGGAAGGAGGUCUGUGAAGAAAAUUCGCUUCGGUUUCUUCCUUACAAGAACUCCCUCCCUUCUCAAGGCCUGGACGGUGAAGUAUCUGGUGUGGGACGAUGGGUUAGGACACGGAAGUGAGGCGUCCAAAGGUU